AGAGCGAACGCUGGCGGCAGGCCUAACACAUGCAAGUCGAGCGCCCCGCAAGGGGAGCGGCAGACGGGAGAGUAACACGUGGGAACGUGCCCUUUGGUUCGGAACAACACAGGGAAACUUGUGCUAAUACCGGAUAAGUCCGUAAGGAGAAAGAUUUAUCGCCAAAGGAUCGGCCCGCGUCUGAUUAGCUAGUUGGUGAGGUAACGGCUCACCAAGGCGACGAUCAGUAGCUGGUCUGAGAGGAUGAUCAGCCUCACUGGGACUGAGACACGGCCCAGACUCCUACGGGAGGCAGCAGUGGGAAUAUUGGACAAUGGGCGCAAGCCUGAUCCAGCCAUGCCGCGUGGAUGAUGAAGGCCCUAGGGUUGUAAAGUCCUUUCGACGGGGAAGAUAAUGACGGUACCGUAGAGAGCCCGCUAACUCGUGCCAGCAGCCGC
Molecule: ribosomal RNA, 437 nt
Filed under: uncultured bacterium
Lineage: Bacteria
Description: SSU rRNA
Rfam family: Bacterial small subunit ribosomal RNA
Source: RNAcentral